RNAcentral lists this unclassified non-coding RNA (299 nucleotides) under plant metagenome. RNAcentral describes it as "partial contains 5.8S ribosomal RNA, internal transcribed spacer 2, and large subunit ribosomal RNA". The stretch from base 1 to 105 matches the Rfam family "5.8S ribosomal RNA", at positions 50 to 154 of the family's 154-position model. The record is from RNAcentral.
GAAUUGCGAUAAGUAAUGUGAAUUGCAGAAUUCAGUGAAUCAUCGAAUCUUUGAACGCACAUUGCGCCCCCUGGUAUUCCGGGGGGCAUGCCUGUUCGAGCGUCAUUUCACCACUCAAGCCUCGCUUGGUAUUGGGCGACGCGGUCCGCCGCGCGCCUCAAAUCGACCGGCUGGGUCUUUCGUCCCCUCAGCGUUGUGGAAACUAUUCGCUAAAGGGUGCCGCGGGAGGCCACGCCGUAAAACAACCCCAUUUCUAAGGUUGACCUCGGAUCAGGUAGGGAUACCCGCUGAACUUAAGC